UACAGAGGGUGCGAGCGUUGUCCGGAAUCACUGGGCGUAAAGGGCGCGUAGGUGGUGGCUUAAGCGUGCGGUGAAAGCUCGGGGCUCAACCCCGAGUCGGCCGUGCGAACUGGGCUCACUGGAGCAUAGUAGAGGCAGGUGGAAUUCCCGGUGUAGCAGUGAAAUGCGUAGAGAUCGGGAGGAACAUCAGUUGCGAAGGCGGCUCUCUGGACCAGCACUGACACUGAGGCACGAAAGCGUGGGGAGCAAACAGG
This 254-nucleotide ribosomal RNA is filed under the name uncultured bacterium. RNAcentral describes it as "partial 16S ribosomal RNA". It matches the Rfam family "Bacterial small subunit ribosomal RNA", at positions 524 to 776 of the family's 1533-position model. The record is from RNAcentral.